This 300-nucleotide ribosomal RNA is filed under the name Triticum aestivum (bread wheat). RNAcentral's name for it is "partial small subunit ribosomal RNA". The record is from RNAcentral. Lineage: Eukaryota; Viridiplantae; Streptophyta; Magnoliopsida; Poales; Poaceae.
AUGCGGUGGAGGCCCUCCUUCGUUUCAUCAGGGAAAUUUGCAAAAACAAAAAAUGGCGCGGGCGUCGGUCGGUACACCGAAGCUGCGGCAAUCGACAAAACGGGUCGAAUCCGAGAGGAUCUGGAAAUGGCAAUGCAAAUGCCAAAUCGCUGGGGGCUUAUCUUUAAUUUAAUCCGGUGCGGUGCGAGUGGUAUGAUUUGGUGGGGAGGGGCCCCGGGCGUGGGGAUGAGUAGGAUUUGGUGCAAGGCAAGACACGCCCGGUGUUGGUGGUUGGCCACAGCACCAGCAGUACGGCCGUAG